CGUGGUUCUAUCUUCUGUGAAAGUUCCCCUCAGAUUUGUUUCUGGUUGUAGGAUUUGCCUGAAGCAAGCCUGCUGCUAACAGCCUCCAUAGAGCACCAAACAGCAUCAUCCAUCACAGCUGUGAGCAGCAAGGCUUCACCAGGAGAAAUUAUAUUGAGCUCUGUCACAACAAAAAGCAGCACCUGGAUUGCACAGAAAAGGGAAUGACCCAGCAGCAGUGGAAACUGUGCACUUUGGGAUUUCAGGUUCCAUACUCAAUUUCUUCUGGCACUAGAAUGAGAAGUGAGCAUAUGAAAUGUUACAACACUCUCUGAGAAGAGUUCCACUGAAAAAAUAAGUGUUUACCACACACAUUUCUGGCUUACCAGAUCAUAUGAAAAACAACAGACACCCCUACGCACUCCCUCACAAAAUACAUACACUCUUCUGAAGUCAAGGGGUCAACAGAGUAGAUAAAAGGUUAUUAUCAGAAAAUGAUGCCCCGUGAGAUUACGUUAAAGCAUAAGUUACUUUCAGAAACCAACACCCAUCGUAAGCAUCUCUUUUAUUCGUUGUAAUAUAAAGAAGCAUACAUCAUUCAGUUCCUUUAAGUACAACGCAUUGUACGCUAACAAAACGAAACAAAAAAAUCAAUCCAGACAUCCAUGAACAUGUCACAAAAGGACUCAUGUUUUGCUCUGCUGGUAUUGCACUUGGAAUAGUUUUGAAGUAAGGCACGGUAAAAACAAAGUCAUUUAGUGCUUCUACAGCAGAUGUCUUUUUUUUUUU
Molecule: long non-coding RNA, 768 nt
Organism: Tympanuchus pallidicinctus (lesser prairie-chicken)
Lineage: Eukaryota; Metazoa; Chordata; Aves; Galliformes; Phasianidae
Exons: 2
Source: RefSeq, a predicted model, not a curated record